Molecule: ribosomal RNA, 380 nt
Filed under: uncultured bacterium
Lineage: Bacteria
Description: partial 16S ribosomal RNA
Rfam family: Bacterial small subunit ribosomal RNA
Source: RNAcentral
CCUACGGGUGGCAGCAGUGGGGGAUAUUGCACAAUGGGGGGAACCCUGAUGCAGCGACGCCGCGUGGGUGAAGGAGUGCUUCGGCAUGUAAAGCCCUAUCGGCAGGGAAGAAGCAAGACGGUACCUGACUAAGAAGCCCCGGCUAACUACGUGCCAGCAGCCGCGGUAAUACGUAGGGGGCGAGCGUGAUUCGGAUUCACUGGGAGUAAAGGGAGCGUAGGCGGCCCUGCAAGCCAGGGGUGAAAGCCCGGGGCCCAACCCCGGGACGGCACUUGGAACUGCAUGGCUGGAGUGCGGGAGGGGGAGGCGGAAGUCCUGGUGUAGCAGUGAAAUGCGUAGAUAUCGGGAGGAACACCGGCGGCGAAGGCGGGUUGCUGGAC